RNAcentral lists this ribosomal RNA (263 nucleotides) under uncultured bacterium. Its description in RNAcentral is "partial 16S ribosomal RNA". It matches the Rfam family "Bacterial small subunit ribosomal RNA", at positions 793 to 1055 of the family's 1533-position model. The record is from RNAcentral.
GUCCACGCCGUAAACGAUGAUAACUAGCUGUCCGGGCACUUGGUGCUUGGGUGGCGCAGCUAACGCAUUAAGUUAUCCGCCUGGGGAGUACGGUCGCAAGAUUAAAACUCAAAGGAAUUGACGGGGUCCUGCACAAGCGGUGGAGCAUGUGGUUUAAUUCGAAGCAACGCGCAGAACCUUACCAGCCUUUGACAUCCCGCGCUAUCCUGAGAGAUCAGGGGUUCCCUUCGGGGACGCGGUGACAGGUGCUGCAUGGCUGUCGU